This 453-nucleotide ribosomal RNA is filed under the name uncultured bacterium. RNAcentral describes it as "bacterial SSU rRNA". It matches the Rfam family "Bacterial small subunit ribosomal RNA", at positions 340 to 786 of the family's 1533-position model. The record is from RNAcentral.
UACGGGAGGCAGCAGUGGGGAAUAUUGCACAAUGGGCGCAAGCCUGAUGCAGCCAUGCCGCGUGUAUGAAAAAGGCCUUCGGGUUGUAAAGUACUUUCAGUCGUGAGGAAGGUGUUAAGGUUAAUAACCUUAGCAAUUGACGUUAGCGACAGAAGAAGCACCGGCUAACUCCGUGCCAGCAGCCGCGGUAAUACGGAGGGUGCGAGCGUUAAUCGGAAUUACUGGGCGUAAAGGGCACGCAGGCGGUUAAUUAAGUUGGAUGUGAAAUCCCCGGGCUUAACCUGGGAAUGGCAUUCAAGACUGGUUAGCUAGAGUCUUGUAGAGGGGGGUAGAAUUCCAUGUGUAGCGGUGAAAUGCGUAAAGAUGUGGAGGAUACCGGUGGCGAAGGCGGCCCCUGGACAAAGACUGACGCUCAUGUGCGAAAGCGUGGGGAGCAAACAGGGAUUAGAUACC